Molecule: long non-coding RNA, 473 nt
Filed under: Manihot esculenta (cassava)
Lineage: Eukaryota; Viridiplantae; Streptophyta; Magnoliopsida; Malpighiales; Euphorbiaceae
Description: long non-coding RNA (MESC_LNC010148)
Source: RNAcentral
UAAGUGACUGUUUUAGCAUGUUUCAUGCAUCAUAAUAUCAUGUUAUAGUAGGGUGUAUUGCAUUUGCAAUCACGAAGAUGAUGCAUUGCAUAUUAUGUUGAUGAUGUGGAUGGACCAAGGCGACCCCAAUAGCCCGACAGUGUAUGUUUUAGAAGUCCUGAGGAGCCCCCUGAGGGCCGGGCAUAGUGCAUGUUAUAGAAGUCCUGAGGAGCUCCUUUGAGGGCCGGGCACAGAGCAGAGGGAGUUUUGGUGGUCAUGUCCAUCCGAGAUGUGAUUAGUUGUGAUGUGAUGCAUUCCAUGAUGGCAUAUGUUGUUAAUAUUUUUAUAGUUCUGCUCACUGGGCUUUAUAGCUCACCCCAUUCCUUAAACCCCAUGUUUUCAGGGCCUCAGAGAAAGAUCAGAGUCAGCAAGAGUAAAGAGUAAAGUCAGGACUAUGGCUAAGGUUAUGAGUUUGUAAUAGAAGUUUAGUGGAC